This 489-nucleotide ribosomal RNA is filed under the name uncultured bacterium. RNAcentral's name for it is "partial 16S ribosomal RNA". It matches the Rfam family "Bacterial small subunit ribosomal RNA", at positions 28 to 507 of the family's 1533-position model. The record is from RNAcentral.
GACGAACGCUGGCGGCGUGCUUAACACAUGCAAGUCGAACGGUGAAGGGAUCAGCUUGCUGGUUCUGGAUGAGUGGCAAACGGGUGAGUAACACGUGAGUAACCUGCCCCCUUCUUCUGGAUAACCGCAUGAAAGUGUGGCUAAUACGGGAUAUUCUGGGUCUGUCGCAUGAUGGGUCUGGGAAAGAUAUUGUUUCGGUGGGGGAUGGGCUCGCGGCCUAUCAGCUUGUUGGUGGGGUGAUGGCCUACCAAGGCGGUGACGGGUAGCCGGCCUGAGAGGGUGGACGGUCACACUGGGACUGAGACACGGCCCAGACUCCUACGGGAGGCAGCAGUGGGGAAUAUUGCACAAUGGGCGCAAGCCUGAUGCAGCGACGCCGCGUGAGGGAUGGAGGCCUUCGGGUUGUAAACCUCUUUCGCCAGUGAAGCAGGCCUGCUCCUUGUGGGUGGGUUGACGGUAGCUGGAUAAGAAGCGCCGGCUAACUACGUG